Molecule: ribosomal RNA, 254 nt
Filed under: uncultured bacterium
Lineage: Bacteria
Description: partial 16S ribosomal RNA
Rfam family: Bacterial small subunit ribosomal RNA
Source: RNAcentral
GACGUAGGGCGCGAGCGUUGUCCGGAUUUAUUGGGCGUAAAGAGCUCGUAGGCGGCUUGUCGCGUCGACUGUGAAAACCCGUGGCUCAACCAUGUGGUCUGCAGUCGAUACGGGCAGGCUAGAAUUCGGUAGGGGAGACUGGAAUUCCUGGUGUAGCGGUGAAAUGCGCAGAUAUCAGGAGGAACACCGGUGGCGAAGGCGGGUCUCUGGGCCUGUACUGACGCUGAGGAGCGAAAGCGUGGGGAGCGAACAGG